UAGUAAUCGCGGAUCAGCAUGCCGCGGUGAAUACGUUCCCGGGCCUUGUACACACCGCCCGUCACACCAUGAGAGCCGGGAACACCCGAAGUCCGUAGUCUAACCGUAAGGAGGACGCGGCCGAAGGUGGGUUUGGUAAUUGGGGUGAAGUCGUAACAAGGUACC
This 165-nucleotide ribosomal RNA is filed under the name uncultured bacterium. Its description in RNAcentral is "partial 16S ribosomal RNA". It matches the Rfam family "Bacterial small subunit ribosomal RNA", at positions 1336 to 1500 of the family's 1533-position model. The record is from RNAcentral.